UAUCAGCCUUUUGGGCAUGAUUCUGUGGAGCGUGAGGAGUUAAACGCCUUCAUGUCUGCAUAUUCGUGUACUUUGGGUGUACUUGCCUGUGUGGUUAGUUAACAUCAAUUUUGGUUAUCAUAAAAUGGCUGGAGGAAUGUAGCUUCGAUUUCGAUUGAAGUGUUAUAGCCUUCGGCAGAUGUGAUGAUCGGGAUUGAGGAUUGCAACGGAUACCCUUCGGGGCUACCUGUCUGGUCUCUGAUCGUUGCUCUGGUGCCGAAAGCGUGCUUACGGUUAUCAAAGUCGAUGGUCAAUAGGUUAGAACGGGUUAAAUUCGUUAAGGAUGUUGACGUA
This 333-nucleotide ribosomal RNA is filed under the name uncultured Glomeromycotina. RNAcentral's name for it is "eukaryotic LSU rRNA". Lineage: Eukaryota; Fungi; Glomeromycota. The record is from RNAcentral.